Molecule: transfer RNA, 74 nt
Organism: Methylobacterium sp. Leaf93
Lineage: Bacteria; Pseudomonadati; Pseudomonadota; Alphaproteobacteria; Hyphomicrobiales; Methylobacteriaceae
Rfam family: tRNA
About the family: Transfer RNA (tRNA) molecules are approximately 80 nucleotides in length. Their secondary structure includes four short double-helical elements and three loops (D, anti-codon, and T loops).
Source: Rfam
GCGGGCGUAGCUCAGUUGGUUAGAGUGCCGGCCUGUCACGCCGGAGGUCGCGGGUUCGAGUCCCGUCGCCCGCG